This 1381-nucleotide long non-coding RNA is filed under the name Homo sapiens (human). Its description in RNAcentral is "PREDICTED lncRNA (TCONS_00182875)". The record is from RNAcentral. Lineage: Eukaryota; Metazoa; Chordata; Mammalia; Primates; Hominidae.
GCCGGGGCGUCCCCCGCGGGAGCCCGCAGCCACCCGGGACGCGCAUCCAGACGUGGCGCUUCGGACCGGGCACGCUGCGCCCGGGGGCUCGGCGGACCCCGCGUAGCCGCCGCUUCGGAGCUUGUGCGGCGCGGGCUGGCCAGCGGGGCGGCCAGGGCCCGGCCCGCCUCCCCAGCGCCCGCCCGGCUUCUCCCCCUGGCGGUGGGAGCCUCGGCGGCCGCUGGCGACACUAGGCGCACUGAAGCCCGAGCCGAGCCGAGCCCGAGCCGCCGCCGCCGCCGCCGCUGCUGCGCACCGCUCCCGGGCUCCCUCCCAGCGCGCCGGCCGGGGUGUGGGGGGCGGCGGGCCGGAGGGGCGAGGGCGGGCCAGGGGGCGCACACGGGGGUUGGCGCGGAAGACAGGACCCUCAGCCUCGAGGGAGCCCCUAGGUGACCAGGCAAAAUGGCAGUUCCUUCCAGCUGGUCCUCAGAUGGGCACAUCUAUUAGCCUCUGCUCUUGUAAGAAGUUAGCUGCAGAACCCACAUGUGAAUCCUUGUAGGACUCUGGAGAAGAUCAAAUGGGAGCUUAGAUGUGGAAGCUCUUUGGAAACCAAGAAACACUCUGAAAAUGAAAAGGCAUAAGAAUGUUUAUCACAGCAUGGCAUAUAUUGGAAGUUUAGUAAAUGAAGAUACAUCCAAUCUGACAUUCUAUUCACAACCACAAAGAGAUAAUGUAGAAACAUAUUUAGUAAUGUGAGAAAAUACUAAAUAUUAAGUGAAAAAGGUGGAAGAGUAAACUGUUCCUGUUUCUCCAUCUUGACAGGAAGCAGAAGUUCUCCUUAGCUGAUUUUUCUUCUUGCCUUAUACUGGGUUCUUUAACACCAGAACAAAAAUAAAUAAAUAAAAGAAUCUUCCAGAAAUUCAUGAAGAGACUUCAGGUCAGGAAAGCCUGAACUUUCUCAUCCAACACCCGUUCAAGUCGGAGGAUGCUGAUUAAUUCAUGAUGGAAAGGUAUCAAUUUCACAGCCCAGACCUCUACAUUCUUGAAAUGCUCUUCUCAUGGGAGACAUUAAAUAAGCUUUGAAUUAACUGCACCUGUUCAUUCCAUUCCAACCUGGCUGUUCUCAAGGGCAUUAGAAGAAGCAAGAAAAGAAGAUAUUGUGACCAGUGGUUCACAGCAAUGCCCAGAAGAGUUAAAAGUGGUCUGAUGAAGAGUGUCUAGCCCUGCAGUGUUGGGAGGUAGGAAGCAGGAUGUUGCAGAAACUCAGCAGCCUGGGUGUCAAGGCACAUAAGUCAAGAAGGCCACUUUGGGCAGCAAAUAAAGAAACCAAGCUGACACCCAGAUAUGGAUAGUGAGAAAAGCUACUGUUAAGUGAAGUACACAGGACUUUGGGACGUAGGUA